AUUCCAGCUCCAAUAGCGUAUAUUAAAGUUGUUGCAGUUAAAAAGCUCGUAGUUGAACUUCUGUGUGUGCCCAGUUCUGGCUUCGGUCAAGCUGUGGUGCUCACAUCCGCUUGCAAACCUAGUCCGGCCUUCAUUGGUCGACUAGGGGAGUAGGCUUUUUACUUUGAAAAAAUUAGAGUGUUUCAAGCAGGCAAUGGCUCGAAUACAUUAGCAUGGAAUAAUGGAAUAGGACUUUUGUCCAUUCGGUUGGUUAUUGGACAUGAGUAAUGAUUAACAGGGACAGUUGGGGGCAUUAGUAUUUAAUUGUCAGAGGUGAAAUUCUUGGAUUUAUUAAAGACUAACUUAUGCGAAAGCAUUUGCCAAGGAUGUUUUCAUCA
RNAcentral lists this ribosomal RNA (377 nucleotides) under Paralembus sp. Its description in RNAcentral is "partial small subunit ribosomal RNA". It matches the Rfam family "Eukaryotic small subunit ribosomal RNA", at positions 582 to 975 of the family's 1831-position model. Lineage: Eukaryota; Ciliophora; Oligohymenophorea; Philasterida; Philasteridae. The record is from RNAcentral.